Lolium perenne is the source of this 550-nucleotide long non-coding RNA. RefSeq lists it as uncharacterized. The record is from RefSeq and is a predicted model, not a curated record. NCBI's taxonomy places the organism in Eukaryota, Viridiplantae, Streptophyta, Magnoliopsida, Poales, Poaceae.
UACCGCGCAAAAAAAGACGGGCCAUCCACCAGGCCAUUGCCACCGUCGUUGUUCGCAUGUGCCUGGUCCUAGCGCCUGGGGAGAAUGGUUUUAUUUUUCUGUUUGCAGAUCGAUGACUCUGGGUGCAUACUCUGACCAAUCUGAGCAAUCUUGAACGCUGAUCUAGAUCGAUCUAUGAGGAUCAGCUAUUGAUUUUGCAACUGAGGCAAGUCAGAUGUCUCAAAUGUUAUAUGCUUCAUGAUUUGACAUGAUGUGCACAGCAAAAAACACAGACAGCUUGAAACUUUUCCUCGUACGACAAGUUGAUAAUAAUUGUGCAUAACAGUGACAAACUGGGAAGUGAAGGAAAUCAUCAAUGGAUGCUUGAGUUGCCAAAAAUAAAUCAAUGGAACCUUCAGAAAGGCAUGGCACCACAAAAAGCUCACCUGGGAAAGAAUAAUAACUCUCAGCCCUUUUUCCCUGAUUUCUCGGAUCAUUUUGUCAAGAAGCAGUAGCUUCCCACUUGCAUGCACUCCAAUAUCUAGGAUAUCAGUUACUGGAUGGCCCUUGA